Molecule: ribosomal RNA, 498 nt
Filed under: uncultured bacterium
Lineage: Bacteria
Description: partial 16S ribosomal RNA
Rfam family: Bacterial small subunit ribosomal RNA
Source: RNAcentral
GAUGAACGCUGGCGGCAUGCCUUACACAUGCAAGUCGAACGGUAACAGGUCUUCGGAUGCUGACGAGUGGCGAACGGGUGAGUAAUACAUCGGAACGUGCCCGAUCGUGGGGGAUAACGGAGCGAAAGCUUUGCUAAUACCGCAUACGAUCUACGGAUGAAAGCAGGGGACCGCAAGGCCUUGCGCGGACGGAGCGGCCGAUGGCAGAUUAGGUAGUUGGUGGGAUAAAAGCUUACCAAGCCGACGAUCUGUAGCUGGUCUGAGAGGACGACCAGCCACACUGGGACUGAGACACGGCCCAGACUCCUACGGGAGGCAGCAGUGGGGAAUUUUGGACAAUGGGCGAAAGCCUGAUCCAGCCAUGCCGCGUGCAGGAUGAAGGCCUUCGGGUUGUAAACUGCUUUUGUACGGAACGAAAAGCCUCUUUCUAAUAAAGAGAGGUCAUGACGGUACCGUAAGAAUAAGCACCGGCUAACUACGUGCCAGCCGCCGCAGUAA